RNAcentral lists this ribosomal RNA (301 nucleotides) under uncultured bacterium. Its description in RNAcentral is "partial 16S ribosomal RNA". It matches the Rfam family "Bacterial small subunit ribosomal RNA", at positions 509 to 807 of the family's 1533-position model. The record is from RNAcentral.
CAGCCGCCGCGGGAAUACGAAGGGGGCUAGCGUUGUUCGGAAUUACUGGGCGUAAAGCGUGCGUAGGUGGUGGUUUAAGUCCGUUGUGAAAGCCCUGGGCUCAACCUGGGAAUUGCAGUGGAUACUGGGUCACUAGAGUGUGGUAGAGGAUAGUGGAAUUUCCGGUGUAGCAGUGAAAUGCGUAGAGAUCGGAAGGAACAUCUGUGGCGAAGGCGACUAUCUGGGCCAACACUGACACUGAGGCACGAAAGCGUGGGGAGCAAACAGGAUUAGAUACCCCAGUAGUCCCUGUCUCUUAUAC